UGAGCAAUCUGCCCUUCACAUCGGAAUAACCAUUGGAAACGAUGGCUAAUACCGAAUAUGACUUCGGAUCGCAUGAUCUGAAGUGGAAAGCUCCGGCGGUGAAGGAUGAGCUCGCGGCCUAUCAGCUUGUUGGUGAGGUAAUAGCUCACCAAGGCGAUGACGGGUAGCCGGCCUGAGAGGGUGACCGGCCACACUGGGACUGAGAUACGGCCCAGAUCCCGUACGGGG
RNAcentral lists this ribosomal RNA (228 nucleotides) under uncultured bacterium. RNAcentral describes it as "partial 16S ribosomal RNA". It matches the Rfam family "Bacterial small subunit ribosomal RNA", at positions 118 to 346 of the family's 1533-position model. The record is from RNAcentral.